This 353-nucleotide ribosomal RNA is filed under the name uncultured bacterium. RNAcentral describes it as "bacterial SSU rRNA". It matches the Rfam family "Bacterial small subunit ribosomal RNA", at positions 29 to 377 of the family's 1533-position model. The record is from RNAcentral.
AGUGAACGCUGGCGGCAGGCCUAAUACAUGCAAGUCGAACGGCAGCACAGUGGAGCUUGCUCCAUGGGUGGCGAGUGGCGGACGGGUGAGGAAUACAUGGGAAUCUGCCCAGUCGUGGGGGAUAACGUAUGGAAACGUACGCUAAUACCGCAUGCGCCCUUUGGGGGAAAGUCGGGGACCGCAAGGCCUGACGCGAUUGGAUGAGCCCAUGUUCGAUUAGCUAGUUGGCGGGGUAACGGCCCACCAAGGCGACGAUCGAUAGCUGGUCUGAGAGGAUGAUCAGCCACACUGGAACUGAGACACGGUCCAGACUCCGUACGGGAGCAGCAGUAGGGAAUAUUGGACAAUGGGCG